This is a long non-coding RNA of Arvicola amphibius (Eurasian water vole), 227 nucleotides long. RefSeq lists it as uncharacterized. Lineage: Eukaryota; Metazoa; Chordata; Mammalia; Rodentia; Cricetidae. The record is from RefSeq and is a predicted model, not a curated record. The transcript has 4 exons.
GGUACCUUCAGAGGCCAGAAGAGGGUGUCAAGAUUUCUUGUAACUGGAGGUCGACGUUCGUGAGCUUCCCCAUCUUCAACAUGGCGGACGACGAUCCAUAUGGAACUGGGCAAAUGUUUCAUUUGAAUCCUGCGUUACCUCAUCCAAUAUUUAAUGCAGAAUUAUAUGCACCAGAAAUGCCCCUGUCAACGGAUGGCCCAUACCUUCAAAUAUUAGAGGCAACCAAA